GACACGCUGGCGGCGUGCUUAACACAUGCAAGUCGAACGGAGAUCUAGGAAGCUUGCGAAUCUAGAUCUUAGUGGCGGACGGGUGAGUAACGCGUGGGUAACCAACCCAUAACACUGGGACAACCCUGGGAAACUGGGGCUAAUACCGGAUAACUUCUUAGGAAGGCAUCUUCUAAAGAAGAAAGGCGGCCUCUUGAAAAAGCUGCUGGUUAUGGACGGGCCCGCGUCUGAUUAGCUAGUUGGUAGGGUAACGGCCUACCAAGGCGACGAUCAGUAGCCGGCCUGAGAGGGUGGCCGGCCACACUGGGACUGAGACACGGCCCAGACUCCUACGGGAGGCAGCAGUGGGGAAUAUUGCGCAAUGGGCGAAAGCCUGACGCAGCAACGCCGCGUGAGUGAGGAAGGCCUUCGGGUUGUAAAAGCCCUGUCUUAUGGGAAGAAAAAAAUGACGGUACCAUAGGAGGAAGCCACGGCUAACCUACGUG
RNAcentral lists this ribosomal RNA (485 nucleotides) under uncultured bacterium. Its description in RNAcentral is "bacterial SSU rRNA". It matches the Rfam family "Bacterial small subunit ribosomal RNA", at positions 33 to 507 of the family's 1533-position model. The record is from RNAcentral.